GAGGUGAUACCCUAGGCUGAGGGGGUCCCGCGGAAGCCGUAGUGUGUUAGCACUGAGAGAGCGUGUGUGUGUAUGUGUGUGUGUACGUAUGUGUGUGUACGUGUGUGAGUGUGUGUGUGUGUGUGAGGCGCAGCAGACUCGUUCAGUCCGGCAUUGGCUGUGUAGAGGUGAGGGUACCCUGUUACACCACACAGCGCCAACGACAUAGCUCAACUCGGUGCGCCUCGACUCCCGUGCUCGUCGUCAAAAUAAAAACAAAUAGAAAACUUCUUUACCUUCACUUCAUACGAGACUACACACUGUCUCUCUCUCACUCUCUAUUUUUUCUCUCUUUAUCUACCUAUCACUCCGUCUCUCGCGUACGGGUGUGUGUGUGUGUUUCUCUUUUUCCCUUCUGACUCUCUCUCUCUCUCUCGUCAUUUUCCGUUUCUCUCUCUCUCUCUCUCUCUGUAUCGCCGCUCGAGACACGCAUAUAUAUAUCAAGAGGGCGAGCGAAACACGUGUUUUCUCUCCCUCGAUGACCGUCUACGCGCUGAUAUGAGUCGCUUUGCAUUAGCGUAACAGUUCUGUGUGAUACAUUCAGUUGUCAGUGAUGACCCACACUGGAUUUACCUGGAUUCGCUCGUCUCAGGACUUGCUCGAACGCUGCUUCGGUUGCCUUCACCGCUGUCUUCUAUCGUCCGAAGAAGACCAAGAGCAGCUGAGAAACACGACGAGGCAGUAAAUAGUUUUGAAAAAAAGAAGGCAGAUAUUUGAUAAAAUAAGGAGCAAAGAAGUCACGAACGAUGAAUAAUAUAUAAAAAAGAAAAUAA
This 812-nucleotide long non-coding RNA is filed under the name Penaeus japonicus. Its description in RNAcentral is "uncharacterized LOC122258094". The record is from RNAcentral. Lineage: Eukaryota; Metazoa; Arthropoda; Malacostraca; Decapoda; Penaeidae.